UACGUAGGGGGCAAGCGUUAUCCGGAUUUACUGGGUGUAAAGGGAGCGCAGACGGCAGUGCAAGUCUGGAGUGAAAGCCCGGGGCCCAACCCCGGGACUGCUCUGGAAACUGUACGGCUAGAGUACAGGAGGGGCAGGCGGAAUUCCUAGUGUAGCGGUGAAAUGCGUAGAUAUUAGGAGGAACACCGGCGGCGAAGGCGGCCUGCUGGACCGAAACUGACGUUGAGGCUCGAAAGCGUGGGGAGCAAACAGG
Molecule: ribosomal RNA, 253 nt
Filed under: uncultured bacterium
Lineage: Bacteria
Description: partial 16S ribosomal RNA
Rfam family: Bacterial small subunit ribosomal RNA
Source: RNAcentral